UACCUAUAUUAUAUUGUAUGUUUUUUAGUUGCAUUAGUUCUAUAUAUUAUGCAAAUGAUCUACAUAUUUCUAAAGAUUUUUAUUUUACAAAAUAACAAUUUUGCAUGUUGAGUUAUUGGAUGAUUAUUAAUUAAAGAAUCACUUUAAUGGGUUCAUGUGAGGCAGCGGUGGUAGCAAUGAGCAUGUCAAAAAGGUACACAUGAAAUCCACUUUCGGCGACGAGAUUGCUACCUCUAUUUGCUCUGCGAUUUUGAGAGGCUUUCAUAUAGUCACUGUUGAACUUCAACAUGACGUCAGGAUAUUCAACAUGAAAUUCUCAGCGACAAACCUCAGUUUCAGCAUCUAAAGAAGCAGCUUAGGUAACGUUCAAUCUCAAGAAAAAUUUGAGAAUUAUUUGGAUUGUAAAGUUUGUUAUGGAUGGUUCAAUUUUAGGGCAUUUGAAGGCGAUUUGUCGGAGAUCAUCACGCUCUGCGAGGCGGAAAAUGUGGAGAAAAUCCUUGAGGAAAGUGCUUGUGCGCUAGGUUAGUGGUGCCGACUGUUUUUUGAUUGAUUGAUCAAUCGGUGGAUUCUACUGCUGUUUGUUCCUUUGCGGCUGAAUUUAACAGUUCGAAUGAUGAAUUUUGCAGCAAUUUUUCUUGCUCUAGCAGUCGGGCAAUUCCUCUGCAACGUCCGCGGAACUUUUACGCGUACGUAACCCUAACUUUCAACUUAAUCCACAGUUUCCGUUUUCAGUUCUUUCGAUUUUCAAUCGGCGGAAUGCAGUGAAAGAAUCGGCGUGGUUCUGUGAUUCAGCAGGUUAAUCAGCCACCGGUGAGCUCUGAACAUUUAAGAGCGACGUUCUCCCCCAAUUUGUCCCCACUGGCAAUCCCCUCCCUGAUUGAGGCCGCUCCGACUUUUUUCGACGAAAACCAACUUCCUCUGCUUUUUCGGGCAAGCUUUGACCAUUUAGGAGCAACGUUUCUCCCCAAUUCGUCUCCACAAGCAACUCGUUAGCAGAUUGAGGCCAUCCUGAGUUCCUUGAACGAAAGCCGUGUCAUCGGGUACGUGAUUUCAUCUUGGAAUCGAUAAUGGAUCGUCUCUGUUAACUUGAUCCUUUCGUCCUUCCCUGACCGACCUCCUUCUCGUUGAGAGAUUAGAUCGGCUCACUCGCGUCGUGAGGAUGGCACCACAUCGUCGUCUUCCAAUCUUCUUAUUUCCGAAGAAAAUACGAUCACUGAAAAUUUCAUCAACAUUUCACAGCAGAGUGCCUUCUUUCCCACCAAUCCCUAGAAAUCUCGUCGAUCGUUCCCGACGGAGAUUACGGCGAACCCUCGGAGUUGCCGGCCCUUUUCAGAUCCGAGAUCGACUGAAACUAUGGCGGAUAAGGAGAAUAUAUUUCGAUUCACUAGGGGCUCUAAGAAGAGGGCCGCCGACGCCGCUACCCCCGACGACCGCUCUGCCAACAAGAGGAGAGUCGUUCUUGGAGAGCUUCCUAUUUUACAGAAUGCUUCUUCUUCCUCCGAUCGUAAGUCCAAGUCUAGAGCCUCCAGGCACCGACGGAGAGUAAAAUCAAAGGAUACUGCCGGGACAAGUGCUGCUGCUGAAAUCAAUACACUCCCGGAAGGUGACGUCAAGUUAUCAGAUGAGGCCAAUUCUGAAGACCCGCAAAUGUGCAGGGUUUACGCCUCUGAUAUUUAUGAAUAUCUUCGAGCUAUGGAGACUGAUCCAAGAAGAAGACCCUUACCGGAUUACAUCGGGAGGGUACAAAAGGAUAUUAGUGCCAAUAUGAGGGGGAUUCUGGUGGAUUGGUUGGUUGAAGUUGCAGAAGAAUACAAACUAGUUUCAGAUACUCUUUACCUCUCUAUUUCAUAUGUAGACAGAUACUUAUCUCUAAAUGCAAUCAGCAGGCAAAAACUUCAGUUGGUGGGCGUUUCUGCCAUGCUCAUUGCCUCAAAGUAUGAAGAAAUCAGUCCUCCACAUGUUGAAGAGUUUGUUUAUAUCACAGACAAUACCUACAAUAGAGAAGAGGUGGUUGAGAUGGAGGCUGAAAUAUUGAAGUCACUGGAAUUUGAACUUGGAAAUCCCACAAUAAAGACAUUUUUAAGGAGAUUCACAUUGAUUGCUCAAGAGACUUAUGAGUUUAAUACUUUGCAAUUUGAAUUCUUGGGCUACUAUCUUGCUGAGUUAAGCCUACUAGACUACAACUGUGUCAAGUUCUUACCGUCUCUCAUUGCUGCAUCUGUUAUAUUUCUAGCACGAUUUAUGAUCCAAUCUAAGAAGCAUCCUUGGGUUGGAGCAUUUUACUGGAUAUAAGCCCGCUGAUAUGAAGGAUUGCGUUCUACUUGUACAUGAUUUAUACCUUAGUAGAAGAGGAGGCGCUUUGGCAGCUAUAAGGGAGAAAUACAAACAACAUAAGUUCAAAUUUGUGUCUGUCAUGCCUUCACCUCCAGAAAUUCCUAUUCCAUAUUUUGAAGAUGUUAGAAUAUGAAUGUACAAGAUGACAAUAAUAGUUAGGAACUUACGAUAUGGGAGUGAAUAGAAAUUUAUAUUAGAUAGGAAUCUGAAUUCCAGAGGCAUGGUUCAGUUUCAAUCUGCACAAGCUCUAUAAGGCAUUAGCUGAUGGGCGAGUGUCCACUUGGAAUGGAACAUUUUUGUGCACUGGAAGGCGAGCCAAAGCUUGAAGGCCAAGCUGGCAUAUUUUCCCACAACAUUUAUUGCAUUUUCUUCCCUUGUAAAGAUUUCUUUUGAAAAACAGUAACCCCAAUGUGGCUCACUUCUUAGAUUUUAGGGUGUGUUUAGUACUGUACAAAAUUCAGCAAUGCACAUCAUGCAUUGGGCCGGAAGCCCAGUUGAAAGCAUAGAGUUCUCAUAUAUAUAUAUAUAUUUUUUCUUUUU
Non-coding RNA from Benincasa hispida (wax gourd), 2874 nucleotides. NCBI's taxonomy places the organism in Eukaryota, Viridiplantae, Streptophyta, Magnoliopsida, Cucurbitales, Cucurbitaceae. The record is from RefSeq and is a predicted model, not a curated record.